CCGAGGGAGAGAGGGCGGUGUCCAGAGGUGGGCCCCCUUCAGCUCAGAGAGAAAAGGGGGAGGGGUGAUUGUGAACACGCUCCCUUCCUCCUGAGAAUAGAUUGUAAAUUGGGAAUGUAGCCGCUGCAGUGCACACUCGCCAAAACUAGGCAACUGGGGUGCACACUUAAGGAACCUAGGAGCAUAGGGUUUGUGCUUUGCGAGUCCAGGGCCCUAGAGUGUACACUUGCACGCCUUGUUUUUCCUAUUCGCCUUGUCAGAUGGGUGGGGCUAUCUCCACCCUUCCUCCAUAAGGUCAAACACAAAUGGCAAAUUCCAACUACUUUUGCUCCACAGUGUUAUUGCACUGAGGUGCAGCAUGUUGCUGCAAAGCUUAGUUUUGUAUAAGAAUGAUGGAAAUCACUGAAUCGAUUGUUUCAGUAAAGUCAUCCAAAUAUGGGAAAUAGAACUUUUGUAAAAUCUCUGGUUGUCUUUUUUUUUUUUUUUUUUUACACUGAUAUGAAAAGCGGAGUGACUGGAUAUUCCCACGCCAGGUUAUUACUAACAGACCCUCGUGUGAGACACUCGGAACCUCUGUGCUCGGCAUUCGACCCACCAUUUUCAAAGGAGACGUUCACGGCGAGACGCGUGGAGCCCACCGCCAGUGAGAUGCACGCCAGUGUCAUGGUCACGUCUGAAACAGCAGGCUGACCUGCCUGUCAGUGUAAAGCCAGACAACAGGACACAGGGACAGUUUGGAUAUUU
This is a non-coding RNA of Electrophorus electricus (electric eel), 744 nucleotides long. NCBI's taxonomy places the organism in Eukaryota, Metazoa, Chordata, Actinopteri, Gymnotiformes, Gymnotidae. The record is from RefSeq and is a predicted model, not a curated record.